RNAcentral lists this ribosomal RNA (220 nucleotides) under Bacillus thuringiensis. RNAcentral's name for it is "partial 16S ribosomal RNA". It matches the Rfam family "Bacterial small subunit ribosomal RNA", at positions 1 to 213 of the family's 1533-position model. The record is from RNAcentral. Lineage: Bacteria; Bacillati; Bacillota; Bacilli; Caryophanales; Bacillaceae.
UUUAUUGGAGAGUUUGAUCCUGGCUCAGGAUGAACGCUGGCGGCGUGCCUAAUACAUGCAAGUCGAGCGAAUGGAUUAAGAGCUUGCUCUUAUGAAGUUAGCGGCGGACGGGUGAGUAACACGUGGGUAACCUGCCCAUAAGACUGGGAUAACUCCGGGAAACCGGGGCUAAUACCGGAUAACAUUUUGAACUGCAUGGUUCGAAAUUGAAAGGCGGCUU